AAAGUAGCAUAAUCACUUGUCGCUUAAUUGGCGACUAGAAUGAAUGGCUAAACGAAUCCCCCUCUGUCUCUGAAAGAACUCUGGCAAAUUUGAAACGACAGUGAAGAUGCUGUCAAAUAAUUGUAAGACGAAAAGACCCUAUCGAGCUUUACUGAAAACUUGUAUACCAAUAUCCUUAACUAUAACAAAGGUUCUAAAACUGCAAGGUCGACAGUUUGGUUGGGGCGACCACCCCUAAAAAUGUAUCAGGGGAACUCUAAAGGCUAUUAUAAUAUGAAAAAUUGCCUUACUGAAGACAAACAAGUCAACCAGUUACAAUAAGUAGGACAUACUGACCCGUUAUUUUACUCAUACUAAAUAACGACUAUGAAAAAAGUUACCGUAGGGAUAACAGGGUAAUAUUUUCAGAGAGUUCAUAUCGAUGAAAAUGUUUGCCACCUCGAUGUUGAAUUAUGAUGUCCUAAGGGUGCAGCAGCUCUC
RNAcentral lists this ribosomal RNA (480 nucleotides) under Aurelia sp. JX-2016. RNAcentral describes it as "partial 16S ribosomal RNA". It matches the Rfam family "Bacterial large subunit ribosomal RNA", at positions 1953 to 2566 of the family's 2925-position model. Lineage: Eukaryota; Metazoa; Cnidaria; Scyphozoa; Semaeostomeae; Ulmaridae. The record is from RNAcentral.